This 238-nucleotide ribosomal RNA is filed under the name uncultured bacterium. RNAcentral describes it as "partial 16S ribosomal RNA". It matches the Rfam family "Bacterial small subunit ribosomal RNA", at positions 92 to 334 of the family's 1533-position model. The record is from RNAcentral.
CGAGUGGCGGACGGGCGAGUAAUGUCUGGGAAACUGCCCGAUGGAGGGGGAUAACUACUGGAAACGGUAGCUAAUACCGCAUAACGUCGCAAGACCAAAGAGGGGACCUUCGGGCCUCUUGCCAUCGGAUGUGCCCAGAUGGGAUUAGCUAGUAGGUGGGGUAACGGCUCACCUAGGCGACGAUCCCUAGCUGGUCUGAGAGGAUGACUAGCCACACUGGAACUGAGACACGGUCCAG